Aureimonas altamirensis is the source of this 74-nucleotide transfer RNA. It matches the Rfam family "tRNA". Rfam says of the family: Transfer RNA (tRNA) molecules are approximately 80 nucleotides in length. Lineage: Bacteria; Pseudomonadati; Pseudomonadota; Alphaproteobacteria; Hyphomicrobiales; Aurantimonadaceae. The record is from Rfam.
GGUCCCAUAGCUCAGCAGGAUAGAGCACCAGAUUCCUAAUCUGGGGGUCGUUGGUUCGAAUCCAACUGGGAUCA